Non-coding RNA from Nerophis lumbriciformis (worm pipefish), 1142 nucleotides. NCBI's taxonomy places the organism in Eukaryota, Metazoa, Chordata, Actinopteri, Syngnathiformes, Syngnathidae. The record is from RefSeq and is a predicted model, not a curated record.
AGUGUCAGUUUUAAGAUAAUAUGUGGAGCAGAACAUUUGAAAUUCACACAAAUAUUACUCCAUUGAUGGUUUCAUUCUGAAAUAUGUUUGAUUCAUUGUCAACAUUCCACAUCUCCAUGCUCUGGCAGCCACGUCACCAGUUUCAACUUUCCCUCUUUGGUGUUGCUUCCUGUCCCGUGCUCUUCUUUUGGCGCCACUUCCUGUUGUGUUGGUGUUUUUUCCUGACCGCUUCACACGUCUUUCUCUGAGCACUGAUGCACACACCUGUGCUUUCUGUUAGCAAUCACUUCUAUUUGGGUGUGAGCCGCCAUUCUUUGUUUGGAGUGUGCACGCUCUUUCCCUCCCGCCGUGAGUUUUGCUGUGUUCCAGCAUUCCGUUUUGUUGUUUUGCACCCUGUCAGUUUGGUUUUUGCAUAACCUUGCCUGUGCUUCACUGUCUUCCUAGCCACAUGAAAUACUUUUACCUGCACCUCUGCAUCUUGGGAACACGCCCGGAAUCGACGUCAUGCAACGCAGGCCCCUCUCCAUUCCAUACCUGGACCUGGCGCCAGCCGCCGUGUGAUCUGAUGUACAGAUGUCCGCCGCUCUCAGACACGUAGGCCAGGGUUCCCUCUGCAGCCCUCUGGGUCUCUCUGGUCAGAGCAUGGACUGUCUUGUAGGCGCUCACCUGGGCAGAGUCCGGGCCCAGAGGAGAAAACCUGGAGGUGGAACCGGAAGCUCUCGCUCUCACCCUACGACGGUAGAACAGGUGCUGCACUGCCCUUCUGUUUCCACUGAGCCUUCAACCGGAAGUAAAAGUCCAUAGCGUUGAUUCUUCACUCAUCACUCCAAUCGACGUUUUUCCACAAAUUGGAGUUAUUGAGUCUGUUUGGCUGAUUGAGAGCUAGCUUGCGCAGCUAGUGGGUCCAUGACUUCGGUUUUGUUUGAUCAGCCGUUUUACUGCCUUGUUACAGACACCGUUUGGAAAUAAUUAAGGUAUGUACAGAAUCUUACUGUGUAAAUGUAUAUAUCUGCGGCUUAUAGUCUCUGUAGUCGGGUAAACCACGAUGUAUUAACAUUUUUAGUCUGUAAACCACGGUGUAUUAACAUUAUUAUUAGUCUGGGUGAACAAAUGUGAAGCUAACCAAUGUCCAGCCUCAGAAG